Molecule: unclassified non-coding RNA, 326 nt
Filed under: Hevea brasiliensis (rubber tree)
Lineage: Eukaryota; Viridiplantae; Streptophyta; Magnoliopsida; Malpighiales; Euphorbiaceae
Source: RNAcentral
CUCCCAAAGCCACGCAUUCACUGAUGCCACUGGCUUGUGGUGGAUGUUGGAGUGGCAUUAUAGCCUCUCGGUGACAGUCACCACCUUCACGGUAGGCCUCUCUUUGCUUUCCUAUCCCAGUAUGCAACAUUCCCAACCCUCUGCCAAUCAAAAGUAGACACAUCUUUAUUUCCUCCUGCCCUGGCUAAUGUGGUUGGCUUUUGAGCCUGUCUUAGCAAUACAUCCCUGAACUGCAUACAUUUGGUCCUAAAGGCUGCCACCAAGCUUCUCACCAAGUCUCCCAGAAGGUCUUGUGUGAAAACAAGUUUUCAUGCUUGACAAAGGCU